Rattus norvegicus (Norway rat) is the source of this 345-nucleotide non-coding RNA. Lineage: Eukaryota; Metazoa; Chordata; Mammalia; Rodentia; Muridae. The record is from RefSeq and is a predicted model, not a curated record.
CCUCCUUAUGUCCCAUAUCUUCCUGUUUGUCCCAGUCUGCUAGAGGAUCCCACCUCGUGGCUGACAGCUCCUUGUUGCAUUUUAAGGUGGGUAAUAACCCUAAUGCCAGUGCCUGCUACGGUGUGAAAGUUCUGGCUAGCGUUACCCUUGGCUUCGGAUACCGUGAAAUCAUUUUAAUCGAGAAGAACUAAGGCGGAGAAGGAAGAGGUGACGUGAGCAGGACAUCGCACUCCUCUGGCCAUCGGUCCCCUGCCAUGAUGGACUCUUUAACUCUGAACAUAAAACCCUUCAGUUGCUUGUCCCAGUGUAUUGUAUCACAGCCACAGUAAAGUAACUAAAUACCUU